GACGAACGCUGGCGGCGUGCUUAACACAUGCAAGUCGAGCGGUAAGGCCCUUUCGGGGGUACACGAGCGGCGAACGGGUGAGUAACACGUGGGUGACCUGCCCUCAGCUCUGGGAUAAGCCUGGGAAACCGGGUCUAAUACUGGAUAUGACUCCAUGACGCAUGUUGUGGGGUGGAAAGCCUUGUGCGGCUGAGGAUGGGCCCGCGGCCUAUCAGCUUGUUGGUGGGGNGAUGGCCUACCAAGGCGACGACGGGUAGCCGGCCUGAGAGGGCGACCGGCCACACUGGGACUGAGACACGGGCCCAGACUCCUACGGGAGGCAGCAGUGGGGAAUCUUGCGCAAUGGGCGAAAGCCUGACGCAGCGACG
RNAcentral lists this ribosomal RNA (368 nucleotides) under uncultured bacterium. Its description in RNAcentral is "bacterial SSU rRNA". It matches the Rfam family "Bacterial small subunit ribosomal RNA", at positions 28 to 396 of the family's 1533-position model. The record is from RNAcentral.